GACGAACGCUGGCGGCGUGCUUAACACAUGCAAGUCGAACGGAAAGGCCCUGCUUUUGUGGGGUGCUCGAGUGGCGAACGGGGGAGUAACACGUGAGUAACAUGCCCUUGACUGUGGGAUAACUUCAGGAAACAGGGGCUAAUACCGGGGAGGAGCUCCUGCUGCAUGGGGGGGGUUGGAAAGUUUCGGCGGUUGGGGAUGGACUCGCGGCUUAUCAGCUUGUUGGUGGGGUAGGUGCUUACCAAGGCUUUGACGGGUAGCCUGCCUGAGAGGGUGACCGGCCACAUUGGGACUGAGAUACGGCCCAGACUCCUACGUGCGGCAGCAGUGGGGAAUAUUGCGCAAUGGGCGGAAGCCUGAUGCAGCGACGCCGCGUGCGGGAUGACGGCCUUUGGGUUGUAAACCGCUUUCGCCUGUGACGAAGCGUGCGUGACGGUAAUGGGUAAAGAAGCACCGGCUAACUACGUG
This 468-nucleotide ribosomal RNA is filed under the name uncultured bacterium. RNAcentral describes it as "partial 16S ribosomal RNA". It matches the Rfam family "Bacterial small subunit ribosomal RNA", at positions 28 to 507 of the family's 1533-position model. The record is from RNAcentral.